GAUGAAGAACGUAGCGAAAUGCGAUAAGUAAUGUGAAUUGCAGAAUUCAGUGAAUCAUCGAAUCUUUGAACGCACCUUGCGCCCUUUGGCUAUUCCGAAGGGCAUGCCUGUUUGAGUAUCGUGAACACCUCAACUCUCAUGGUUUGCCAUGAUGAGCUUGGACUUUGGGGGUUUUGCUGGCCUUUGGUCGGCUCCUCUCAAACGGAUCAGCUUUCCAGUGUUUGGUGGCGUCACGAGUGUGAUAACUAUCUACGCCUGUGGUUUUCUGCCAGAUAACCUUCAGCGAUGGAGGUUCGCUGGGGCUCAUAAAUGUCUCUCUUCAGUGGAGACAGCUUUUUGGACGUUUGAUCUCAAAUCAGGUAGGACUACCCGCUGAACUUAAGCAUAUCAAUAAGCGGAGGA
Molecule: unclassified non-coding RNA, 402 nt
Filed under: soil metagenome
Description: partial contains 5.8S ribosomal RNA, internal transcribed spacer 2, and large subunit ribosomal RNA
Rfam family: 5.8S ribosomal RNA (bases 1-121)
Source: RNAcentral